GUAAUGAUCUACUUGUGCUUGUCAUCCAGAAUGUGUGCUAAACAAACCUUGCACAUGUGUAGCUUACAUGGAGAUUCUGGGAGAAGUUUUCCUUUGAGGUUCGCUAGCAAGCAGAGGAGGUGACAGUCAUUAAGAUUGGUGGCACGUUGCAAAGCUCACCUUUAUCAAAUGUUCUUCUGGUUGCAAAAAAGCUUCCAAAAUUAUGCUGUCAAGUGCACGAUAUGCAGAAAGACUCUUUACUAACUCUCACUAACUUAGGAGCCUUUGCUGGCUUCAUAUGGGUGAUGGACAAAGAGCUUUUGAUGAUGCAGCUAAAUGCAAAAGGCUGCGUCCAAAGUGGGAAGAGGUGAACUAUCGGCAAGGAACAGCUCUAAUGUUCAUAAAGGAGUAUGAUGCUGCGCAUUCCGCACUCUCGCGCGCUUUAGAGUUGGACCCGGAAAGUGAAGAGACCGACAAAUUAUUCUGGGAGGCGAUGGAACUGAAGUGAACUUGCCCUGCAUGCUGACUGCAGAGAGAAGCUCACACACAGAAUCUCAAGCUCUCUGUUUUUGCGUCCUUACAAGAAAACCCGCAUGAAUUCACUCAUGGGCCGUAGCAGCAGCUUAGAGCAAACCAGGUUACUGGCUACUUAUUUUAAGUUGGUUUUGCGGAACUUAA
Triticum dicoccoides is the source of this 657-nucleotide long non-coding RNA. RefSeq lists it as uncharacterized. The transcript is spliced from 4 exons. NCBI's taxonomy places the organism in Eukaryota, Viridiplantae, Streptophyta, Magnoliopsida, Poales, Poaceae. The record is from RefSeq and is a predicted model, not a curated record.